UACGUAGGGUGCAAGCGUUAAUCGGAAUUACUGGGCGUAAAGCGUGCGCAGGCGGCUUUGCAAGACAGAUGUGAAAUCCCCGGGCUCAACCUGGGAACUGCAUUUGUGACUGCAUGGCUAGAGUACGGUAGAGGGGGAUGGAAUUCCGCGUGUAAGCAGUGAAAUGCGUAGAUAUGCGGAGGAACACCGAUGGCGAAGGCAAUCCCCUGGACCUGUACUGACGCUCAUGCACGAA
Molecule: ribosomal RNA, 235 nt
Filed under: uncultured bacterium
Lineage: Bacteria
Description: partial 16S ribosomal RNA
Rfam family: Bacterial small subunit ribosomal RNA
Source: RNAcentral